Alligator mississippiensis (American alligator) is the source of this 489-nucleotide long non-coding RNA. RefSeq lists it as uncharacterized. The record is from RefSeq and is a predicted model, not a curated record. The transcript has 4 exons. NCBI's taxonomy places the organism in Eukaryota, Metazoa, Chordata, Crocodylia, Alligatoridae.
GGCAGACACUAUCGAGGCACACUAGGACUGGCGACACAGGGAACCGUAUGCAACACAGACGCCUCAACAUCUAUUAUUAGGUUCAGCAAUAAUGAGAACGUAUAUAAUGCAGCUGGUUCUGCUCAUGAGCUUGGCCACGCUCUCAUUUUUGGACAUGAUGAUGAAGCCGGCAAUGUAGCCAGAUUCUGCCGAUGCCCUGGCUGCAAAGAAAGAUGCAUUAUGAGAUCAAAACUCUCAGAGUGCACAGAGUUCAGUAACUGCUCUGCUGCUGACUUCUAUGACAGGUUGAUGAUGGGAAAAUUAAAUUGUCUACUUAACAUGCCACCUGUAGCUACACUCACAUAUAAUCAGUGUGGGAAUGGUCUCUUGGAAGAAGACGAAGAAUGCGAUUGUGGUAGAGAUAAGGUAUGCCGUGACAAUGGCUGUUGCCAGUCCAAUUGUACGCUUGCGCCAGGGGUCACUUGUGUGUCAGGACAUUGUUGCACAAAA